AGAGUUUGAUCAUGGCUCAGGAUGAACGCUAGCGACAGGCUUAACACAUGACAAGUCGAGGGGCAGCAUGAUUUGUAGCAAUACAGAUUGAUGGCGACCGGCGCACGGGUGAGUAACGCGUAUGCAACUUACCUAUCAGAGGGGGAUAGCCCGGNGAAAGUCGGAUUAAUACCCCAUAAAACAGGGGGUCCCGCAUGGGAAUAUUUGUUAAAGAUUCAUCGCUGAUAGAUAGGCAUGCGUUCCAUUAGGCAGUUGGCGGGGUAACGGCCCACCAAACCGACGAUGGAUAGGGGUUCUGAGAGGAAGGUCCCCCACAUUGGAACUGAGACACGGUCCAAACUCCUACGGGAGGCAGCA
This 357-nucleotide ribosomal RNA is filed under the name uncultured bacterium. RNAcentral's name for it is "bacterial SSU rRNA". It matches the Rfam family "Bacterial small subunit ribosomal RNA", at positions 8 to 353 of the family's 1533-position model. The record is from RNAcentral.